AAGCAAUGCAGUGAAAGUCCCAAACCAAAACAGCAAAACUCUAGCCCUAGGUUCUUUGCCGCCGCCGUCCCCAGGUUCUCAGCGCUUCCGCUUCUUCCUCUUUCCCCUGUCCGGAACCCAGGUAGCUCGGCACGUUGUCCCCAUCCUCGCUGGCUUCUCUGUCCGUGGCUUGGAGCAGCUCGCCGUCGGGUCACCGCUUGCCGUCGUCUCUGCUCUCGCUGGUUGCCGCCGUGUCUCCGUCGAAGGUAUAUAUAUCUUGGGCUAUUCGACAGCGAAGUAGAAGCUGCAAGGUCCUAGUGAUACGUGAAUUACAUUCUACCUGCACUGAAUUUAUUACCCUGAAUUUUCAAGCUCAUUAGGGCUCAAAUCCAACAUGUGUAUCCCUUUUGAUUUUCUGGAAAUCAGGACUUAUGACAAGGCUGCUAUCAAAUACAAUGGAAGGGAAGCAGUGACUAACUUUGAGCCAAGUACAUAUGAAGGAGAGAUGAAAUCUCCAGCCAUCAAUGAAGGUAUAACAAUGAUCUAUUUUGCUCCUCUUAAUGUACAAGUGACUAAUGUCACUGUAAAAUUGAAUUUGUGUUUGUUUUCUACCGGUGGCAGUCCUAAUCUUGAACUUAAUUUGGGCAUAGCAACUCUAGGACAUGGUCUGAAAGAAAACAGGGGGCAACUCCAGUUCCCCUGGGUCCCUUACAGCAUGCAUGCUGGAAGAACAAUGGUGGAAACCAAUGUUAAUUUGGUAAUUGGUAAUCCAUCUUCAAAAAGGUUGGUUGCAACUGAAGAGCAUCCUUCUCCGUGGAAUGGCGUGAAUCCUAGUUUCUUUCCCAAUUAGGUUGGAGGAGAGGCAACGUGCUGAAAAGAAAAUAAGGGAGGCCAAAGGGGAAACCUUCAAAACAAAGUGGUUUGAUAUAACUGAAGAAGUGGCAACCACUCCUUAGGAUGAC
Non-coding RNA from Arachis ipaensis, 941 nucleotides. NCBI's taxonomy places the organism in Eukaryota, Viridiplantae, Streptophyta, Magnoliopsida, Fabales, Fabaceae. The record is from RefSeq and is a predicted model, not a curated record.